UACGUGUGGACCAAGCGUUGUUCGGAAUUACUGGGCUUAAAGGGUGCGUAGGUGGCCAGGUAAGUCAGUGGUGAAAGUCGACCGCCCAACGGUCGAAUUGCCAACGAUACUGCCUGGCUUGAGUGUGCUAGGGGGAUGCGGAACGAGUGGUGUAGCGGUGAAAUGCGUAGAUAUCACUCGGAAGGCCAGAGGCGAAGGCGGCAUCCUGGGGCACAACUGACACUGAGGCACGAAAGCGUGGGGAGCAAACAGG
Molecule: unclassified non-coding RNA, 253 nt
Filed under: uncultured Planctomycetota bacterium
Lineage: Bacteria; Pseudomonadati; Planctomycetota
Description: uncultured planctomycete contains 16S-23S intergenic spacer region
Rfam family: Bacterial small subunit ribosomal RNA
Source: RNAcentral